This 73-nucleotide transfer RNA is filed under the name Pantoea sp. Aalb. It matches the Rfam family "tRNA". Rfam says of the family: Transfer RNA (tRNA) molecules are approximately 80 nucleotides in length. Their secondary structure includes four short double-helical elements and three loops (D, anti-codon, and T loops). The record is from Rfam by way of RNAcentral. Lineage: Bacteria; Pseudomonadati; Pseudomonadota; Gammaproteobacteria; Enterobacterales; Erwiniaceae.
GCCGGUAUAGCUUAGUUGGUAAAGCAACGUAUUCGUAAUGCGAAGAUCAUAGGUUCGAUUCCUAUUACCGGCA